GGUUUUGCCUCUUCAACCAGCUGUAGCAACUGAAUUACAAGUGCACAGAGUCGUGAGGAGACUGAUGGCCUGAAUAAUUGGUAGGAGCUGGUUAUCAAGCAUAUGAAGACACUGUGUUGCAAAAGCUCCAAAUGGCUGCAAAAAGACAAAAGUGACAAGCAAAAGUGAUGAGGAAGAGAAUCUUGGAUGGAUCAUGUGUCUCUGAUCUUUUGGAACUCUUAUUAAAGGCAAGGAAUAACUUUCUCCCCUUGUUGCCCAUGUCCCCAUUUCCCUUCUUGCUUGCUUGUUUAUCAGUAAUACCAGACUCACCGACUUCCCCCUACCGAUUUUCUAUCCAGACUGACGUGGCAGAUGCCACCUCAUCUGCCACAUCAGUCACUUACCACGUCAUUCCAUCCCCAAAAAAAAAUCAAUUACUGAUUCGAGCCAACCAAAUUCAAAUCUGCCUCCCUAAAUUCAUUUCCCCCAAAUUUGCAAACCCUAAAAUUUUCCCCAAAUCAAUUCCAAUUUCAGAUAUCCUAGCCACCACAGAAAACGGUUUCAGUCACACUCCAUGCACGCACCACCACCGCACUCCAAUUUCACCAACGUAGCCAAGCCAACCUUUCUCACUAUCGCCUCUCUUUAAUAUUGAUAUGUUUCGCACCACCAUAUUUGAACUCCCUGCCAAUCGUUUACCAACCCAUCACAACAACAAACACCACAAUCCAAUUGAAGCCACAGUCGACAGCCGCACCACCACAUUUCACCGUCGUCCUUUACCAAUGCCACCAAAACGAGGUUGCCGGCAAGAUAAAGGAACCAACAUCAUAGCCUGUAAGGGUAAUCUGUUUGCAGUAUAGUACAAACGAUGGAAGAGUGCAGUCAAAAGAAAUCAGAGAACUCUUCUUCUCAAUUCGAAGUCGUUGAGGAUAAUAAUAACCCAAAAGUACAAGUUAUAAGAAGUGCAGAAGAUGAAUGGGAGCAAAGGACUUUGAAGUUGUAAUUUGGGAGAGAGACUUAUGUGUUUGUAAUCUGGGCAGUGUGUUUGUAGUCUAGGCAGUGUGUUUUUAGUCUGGGCAAUGUGUUUGGGAGGUGUUUGGGCAGUUUGUGCAGUUUGUGUACUUUGCACUGAUCCAUAUUGAUAAUUGUAAUAUCACUAGUCUUUUAUUUAUACAUUCAAGGUAAAAUUUGUAACUUGAAUUUCAUUUCAUAAUCUAAUUUUGAGGUGUAUAAUGCGUUCAGACUGCCAAAGAG
This is a long non-coding RNA of Pistacia vera, 1236 nucleotides long. RefSeq lists it as uncharacterized. The record is from RefSeq and is a predicted model, not a curated record. The transcript has 4 exons. NCBI's taxonomy places the organism in Eukaryota, Viridiplantae, Streptophyta, Magnoliopsida, Sapindales, Anacardiaceae.